RNAcentral lists this ribosomal RNA (277 nucleotides) under uncultured Pseudomonas sp. Its description in RNAcentral is "partial 16S ribosomal RNA". It matches the Rfam family "Bacterial small subunit ribosomal RNA", at positions 1109 to 1382 of the family's 1533-position model. Lineage: Bacteria; Pseudomonadati; Pseudomonadota; Gammaproteobacteria; Pseudomonadales; Pseudomonadaceae. The record is from RNAcentral.
CCUUAGUUACCAGCACGUUAUGGUGGGCACUCUAAGGAGAACUGACCGGUGGACAAACCGGAGGAAGGUGGGGAUGACGUCAAGUCAUCAUGGCCCUUACGGCCUGGGCUACACACGUGCUACAAUGGUCGGUACAAAGGGUUGCCAAGCCGCGAGGUGGAGCUAAUCCCAUAAAACCGAUCGUAGUCCGGAUCGCAGUCUGCAACUCGACUGCGUGAAGUCGGAAUCGCUAGUAAUCGUGAAUCAGAAUGUCACGGUGAAUACGUUCCCGGGCCUU